Molecule: long non-coding RNA, 543 nt
Organism: Oncorhynchus tshawytscha (Chinook salmon)
Lineage: Eukaryota; Metazoa; Chordata; Actinopteri; Salmoniformes; Salmonidae
Source: Ensembl
CAUAGCUGUACCACAGAGCUGUACCACAUUACUGUACCACAGAGCUGUACCACAUUACUGUACCACAUAGCUGUACCACGGAGCUGUACCACAGAGUAACAUUCUGUCCACCAACUGGUGCCCAGCCCACAUGGGCUUAUAGGACACCAUAUCAAGUAUCAAAACAUUACAUUAAACAAAUGUAAUGCCUUUAACAAUUAAAUGUGUAAUUAGCAAACACAUGUUCAAAUACAUACAGGUUCACAUACUGUACAAAUACAUACAGGUACACAUACUGUACAAAUACAUACAGGUUCACAUACUGUACAAAUACAUACAGGUACACAUACUGUACAAAUACAUACAGGUUCACAUACUGUACAAAUACAUAAAGGUACACAUACUGUACAAAUACAUAAAGGUACACAUACUGCUCAAAUACAUACAGGUACACAUACUGCUCAAAUACAUAAAGGUACACAUACUGCUCAAAUACAUAAAGGUACACAUACUGCUCAAAUACAUACAGGUACACAUACUGCUCAAAUACAUAAAGGUACACAU